Molecule: long non-coding RNA, 1032 nt
Filed under: Calidris pugnax (ruff)
Lineage: Eukaryota; Metazoa; Chordata; Aves; Charadriiformes; Scolopacidae
Description: lncRNA (ENSCPUG00000014447.1)
Source: RNAcentral
GAUACAUGUUGUACUCAUUGGGGAAGUCAACCAAGUUUUUGCUUCAAUACCAAGAGAUGAGCCAAGUUUUUGCAUAAAACAGUUUCUAACUUGUUACCUACAUUUUUCUUAAGCCAGAAGGAUAGGAUAUUGCCUCUGAUUUAUUCCUAGAUCUGUGGGCUGCAGGUUUUUUUUUAACCUCCAAACUAGAGAGCACCCUCUGUAUUCAUUAUACACAGUAAGAAAUUCAGCAAUCAACAUAUUUCAAGUUUAACCUCUUGGACAAAGAAAAUCUUUGGGACUUCAGACUUUUUAGAUGUUUCCCCUCACUUUCCAAUUAAUAUGGUAUCAAGAGGAAGAGCCAAAGAAGCGGAUGGGAGAAGUUAUUCCACAAACAUGGGACAGAUUUCACUCUCUCCAAAUAAGAUUAAAAUGCAAAAGGAAUGAUCUGAAAAAGUUGAAUUUUUAACACUUCUCCAUGCACUAAAACUUCUAACAGGAGCUGUUACUGUAAAGAAGAAAAAUAACAACACUCAGGAAUAUUGUGACAUGCACUGCUGUGGAGUUUUUAUCUUUUCAUUUUAAAUCACCCACCCAAACCAACAGCAGCAUUUCUCCCAAAAGGUAACGAUAGUGGUAAAUGAGCUGUGCUGUGUCCCCAUUUGCAAAACAUCUGCUGGUCGACAUUGCACAUUGUAUACAACAAGAAAGCUGGGAUCUGAAUCUCUAGUCUUUGCUAGGAGAGAAGGGUCAUGUAGGGAAGCAAACCAUUUGAAGCCCGUCUCCAGACCAGAGCCUGACUUCCCCAUCUACUCCAUUGGUUCUCUUGGGAAGAGCUUUUUGGUAUCAUUAACAUUUUGUAACAAAAAUAAAGAAAUGGAAAUAAAGAGCUACAUGCUUUCUUCUUUGGUAAAUCUAUCAUUUGGACAUUAUUAGUGCAUACCUGAGCCAAGAAACACCCUUGCUUAGUGGUCACCUCUCAGAGCCACAUACAACAGGCUCCACAGGAUAAAGAGAAGACUUGGUGUGACAUAAUAGGUAAAGAAGCUACCA